GACGAACGCUGGCGGCGUGCUUAACACAUGCAAGUCGAACGGUAAGGCCCUUCGGGGUACACGAGUGGCGAACGGGUGAGUAACACGUGGGCGAUCUGCCCUGCACUUCGGGAUAAGCCUGGGAAACUGGGUCUAAUACCGGAUAGGACCACUGCCUGCAUGGGUGGGGGUGGAAAGCUUUUGCGGUGUGGGAUGGGCCCGCGGCCUAUCAGCUUGUUGGUGGGGUGAUGGCCUACCAAGGCGACGACGGGUAGCCGGCCUGAGAGGGUGACCGGCCACACUGGGACUGAGAUACGGCCCAGAAUCCUACGGGGGGCAGCAGUGGGGAAUAUUGCACAAUGGGCGCAAGCCUGAUGCAGCGACGCCGCGUGAGGGAUGACGGCCUUCGGGUUGUAAACCUCUUUCAGCACCGACGAAGCGCAAGUGACGGUAGGUGCAGAAGAAGGACCGGCCAACUACGUGCCAGCAGCCGCCGUAA
This 478-nucleotide ribosomal RNA is filed under the name uncultured bacterium. RNAcentral's name for it is "partial 16S ribosomal RNA". It matches the Rfam family "Bacterial small subunit ribosomal RNA", at positions 28 to 523 of the family's 1533-position model. The record is from RNAcentral.